Molecule: long non-coding RNA, 1024 nt
Filed under: Eucalyptus grandis
Lineage: Eukaryota; Viridiplantae; Streptophyta; Magnoliopsida; Myrtales; Myrtaceae
Description: long non-coding RNA (EGRA_LNC001116)
Source: RNAcentral
UCGUGAGGCAUAAAUUAGGUGUGUUACAUUGUCACUGUCCUGUCCUGAAGAGGUUCAUAGUACUGAUCAGAUUUGAUGUAUGCACUAUACGAAUAUAAAUAUAUAUAUGCGCUAAUAUAUAUGUGAAUUGAACUUUGAUCUUUGAACUGUUUUAGUUUCAGAUGAUAUUGGGCGUCGCUUCACUAAAUCGGAUUUAUUGUACUCUUGGUAGAAAAUAUAAUAGGGACUACUUGGUCCUGAAAUCAUUUAUUUCGGCUUUUCAUCUCUGACUUUAGAUGGAUGUUGGCGGAUACAUAUGACCUCGAAAGUUAAAAACUUCCUUGAUCGAGAAGCAAAACUUCCUCGCGAUACGCGCUGGUAUUGAAUGUCUUUAGUCAAAUACCCACGGAAGGUUGUGUGUUGAUUUAUCGAUCGUCUCGUUCUGAUACUGUUCUAUUUUCACACGAUCGAAUCUUAUGGUGUUACCAAAAUUAUUUCCAAGCUAUAUCCAACGUGAAGGACGAGACGGUAAACGAAAAGAGGAAAGUAAUCUACAGUAGGAAUAUGUAGACUCAGAAAGAGUAAAAUUAAUCUCAAGGGAAAAAAAGAGAAGAAAUAGAGGGAAUCUAUCUAAGGUCAUAAGCUGCCAACAAAGAAAAGUCAAAACAAGAGAGGAAAGGCAACGUUACAUCGGGGGCAACAGAGCAGAAGCCGUACUCUUUCAAAUGGCAGUGAGCGUAUUAUCUUUCUCUAUCUUAUUGCGAUGCACGCCAGUCAUCGGUCACUUUAGCAGGCCCACGACCCUGCAUUGCGAAGCUCAAGACUAGAAGAAUUCACUGAGAAGUGGGAAAACGUGCAUCCGCCUACUCUUAUAAGACAAGACUACAACUAGGACUCCAUAGAUUCGACUUCAUCUGCUCUGCAACGUUGGUCUGUCCUUAACGUGAUGGGCGACUGGCAUUAACUAACUCUUAUCAUUUGAUUAUGAGUUGGAGAAAACUACUGACGUUCAAUAUAGCCAUCCUUUUCUGGCCAAAAGAAAAAU